CGGCACCGUGAGGCCGAGAACGGGUGGCCUUAUCCGCCCGCACUGCGAGAAGGGCGGCGGGCGGCCCCGGAGGAGGCUGAGGCUGAAGGUGCUGAAAUCCGAGCUGGUCUCUGAGGACUCAGCGGCUACAGUAGAUGAGGCUUUGCUGUUUGGUUCAGAGAAAGGCCUGGGCAAAGUGCCACAAUCCUCAGGGUCAUGGCUUCCCAGUGGCAGACUCUGCAGGGGUUUGCUGAAAUGGAUGCUUGUGACCUGAUGAACUUCCUUUCAGCCCCACCCAUCUUUCUCCAGUGGUCCUUCUAGAUGUCCAUGGCUGGUUUAAACAGUGCUUUCACCUAAACGUUAAGACCAGAGGACUGAGAGUUGGCCUGCUCCAACCUAAUCACAUAUAUCCCACUUUCACUUGAUGAUGGACUGGUUCUGUGGGCAUCCAACUUUAUGGCCUGGUGGGUCAGAUAACACCCAGCGCAUAACGGGCAGCUCAGGUUGCAUAGUAACUUGAUGGCCCAUCAUCAAGCAUUCAGUUUCUACUAAGGCCCAAUAGCAGGCCAAGAGCUGUCUCUCAAAGGGAGAAUAGUUGUCUGAAGAUAAUGGCAAGGCCUUGCUCCAGAAUCCUAAGGGCCUCUGCUGUGAUUCACCCACCUAUGGAGGCCUGCCAAAGACUCCAAAUCCCUGUCCAGCAUUGAAACUUAAGUACCAUUGGAUCUGCUGUAUCAUACAGCCCAAGUGGCAGAGCAGCCUGCCCAGCAGCCUGGACCUGUUGAAGAACCUUCUCUUGUUCUGGGCCUCACUGAAAACUAGUAGCUUUCCCAGUCACUUGGUAUAUGGGAUGGAGUAAGACACUCAAGUGAGGAAAGUGCUAUCUCCAAAAUCCAAAUAUGCCCACUAGAUGUUGUGCUUCUUUCUUAGUAGUAGGAGGGGCCAAAUGCAACUACUUAUCCUUCACCUUAGAAGAAUGUCCCUGCAUGCCCCACACCACUGAACUCGAAAUUUCACGGAGGUGGAAGGGCCUUGAAUUAUGGAUGGAUUUAUUUCCCAUCCCCUGAUGCACAUAUGCUCUACUAGCAACUACAGAGUAGCUGUCACCUCCUGCUCAUUUGAUCCCAUCAGCAUAAUGUCAUCGAUAUAAUGGACCAAUUUGACAGCUUGUGGAAGGGACAGGUGAUCAGGAUCCCUGCGAACUAAGCUAUGACACAGGCUGGAGAGUUAAUAUAACCUUGAGGUAAAACAGUAAAUGUGUACUGCUGACCUUGCCAACUGAAAGCAAAUUUCUGCUUGUGGUUGUUAUGAACAGGUAUGGAGAAGAAAACAUUCACAAGAUCAACAGCUACAUACCAGGUACCAGGAGAUGUGUUAAUCUGGUCAAGUAAAGAAACCACAUCUGGUACAGCAGCUGCAAUUGGAGUUACCACCUGAUUAAGUUUCUGAUAAUCCUCUGUCAUUCUCCAGGAUCCAUCUGUCUUCUAAACAGGCUAAAGAGAGUUAAAUAGAGACAUGGUGGAAGUCACCACUUCUGCAUCCUUCAAGUCUCUCAUAGUGGCAUUAAUUUUUGCAGUCCCUCUGUGGAUGUGAUAUUGUUUUUGGUUCACUAUUUUCCCUGGUGGAAGGAGUUCCAAUGGCUUCCAUUUGACCUUUCCAACAAUAAUGGUCCUCACUAUACAAGUCAGUGAACCAAUGUGGGGGUUCUGCCAACUCCUAAGUAUAUUUAUUCCAAUUAUGUUUUCUAGGACUAGGGAAAUAACUACAGGGUGAGUUCUGGGGCCCACUGGAUCCACUGUCAGUCUCACAUUUGCCAAAACUACAUUGAUCACAUAACUUCUGUAAGCAUCUGCCUUAACUGGAGGGCCAUGAUGCUGUUUGGGGUUUCCAGAUGUCAGUGUCAAACCAAAGGUCUACACAAGUCAUACUGUUAUGAGCAUUGUUUUGCCUCUACUGUCCAUUACAGUAAACACACACACCUUGCCUUUGACAAUUCAGCACGGCCACCUGGCCCUUGUUACUCCAAGAUCCAGUUUGACCCAUUGCAUUUAAGUCACCUAAUACAACAACUGCAUCUCUCACUUUACAUAAAAGACCAAUGACUGGGUAUUGUAAGUAUGCUGGUGCUCCCCUUGCAAAUCUAUUUCUUAUAGUCUUAGUGAAAGGCGCAUCUUCUGGAUGCUCCCAUUGUGGGGGCAAAGAUGAGUUUACAUGGCAAAUCCAUUCCAGAAUUCCAAGUUUUCUGAGCCUUUUAACCCCUUCAUCAACAUUAAGCCAAGGGAUAUCAGGCAGCUUGAGCUCAUUCACAGUAGGUCAUCUUUGGAUCCAUAUUACAGCCAACCAAUCAAAUAAACUCUUGGCAAGUCUUUCAACUGCAUGAGCUGCAGUGUUAAAUCUAAAAUCUCUGCUCAGUGGGCCAAUUUCAAUAAUUUCAGCCUGAUAUAAUCUUAUAUUGAAAUGCAGGAAACUUAGUAAAGAAACAGCUGGGGACAGCCUGAACUAUAUAUUCAGGAAGGAGUAAAUCAAAAAUAGGCUAAAAGAUAGGCUGCAGGUGGCCCAAGAUAUGGGAUGGUCAGGUCAACCUAA
Long non-coding RNA from Jaculus jaculus (lesser Egyptian jerboa), 2562 nucleotides. RefSeq lists it as uncharacterized. NCBI's taxonomy places the organism in Eukaryota, Metazoa, Chordata, Mammalia, Rodentia, Dipodidae. The transcript has 3 exons. The record is from RefSeq and is a predicted model, not a curated record.